Molecule: ribosomal RNA, 477 nt
Filed under: uncultured microorganism
Description: bacterial SSU rRNA
Rfam family: Bacterial small subunit ribosomal RNA
Source: RNAcentral
GAGUUUGAUCGUGGCUCAGGACGAACGCUGGCGGCGUGCCUAAUACAUGCAAGUCGAGCGAGUCUGCCUUGAAGAUCGGAGUGCUUGCACUCUGUGAAACAAGAUACAGGCUAGCGGCGGACGGGUGAGUAACACGUGGGUAACCUGCCCAAGAGAUCGGGAUAACACCUGGAAACAGAUGCUAAUACCGGAUAACAACAGAUGAUGCCUAUCAACUGUUUAAAAGAUGGUUCUGCUAUCACUCUUGGAUGGACCUGCGGUGCAUUAGCUAGUUGGUAGGGUAACGGCCUACCAAGGCGAUGAUGCAUAGCCGAGUUGAGAGACUGAUCGGCCACAUUGGGACUGAGACACGGCCCAAACUCCUACGGGAGGCAGCAGUAGGGAAUCUUCCACAAUGGACGCAAGUCUGAUGGAGCAACGCCGCGUGAGUGAAGAAGGGUUUCGCUCGUAAAGCUCUGUUGUUGGUGAAGAAGGACA